Non-coding RNA from Bos taurus (domestic cattle), 73 nucleotides. The record is from Rfam. NCBI's taxonomy places the organism in Eukaryota, Metazoa, Chordata, Mammalia, Artiodactyla, Bovidae.
UCCCUGGUGGUCCAGUGGUUAAGACUCUGCCCUCCUAAUGCAGGCGGCCCAGGUUUGAUCCCUGAUCAGGGAA